Long non-coding RNA from Micropterus salmoides (largemouth bass), 11763 nucleotides. RefSeq lists it as uncharacterized. NCBI's taxonomy places the organism in Eukaryota, Metazoa, Chordata, Actinopteri, Centrarchiformes, Centrarchidae. The transcript has 2 exons. The record is from RefSeq and is a predicted model, not a curated record.
AGCCUGGAUUGGACAGGGCACACUUGACUCAAUAGAGAGGUACUGGCAGCCCAGAGAGGAUGCAGCUGCAGUAUUUGCAACUCUCUGGUUACAUAAUGUAGAAUAAAAUUCCCAAGCUUCAGGAAAUUUCUAAUUCUCCAUUUUGAAAACUCAAGCGUGUCAUACAAUUUGAACAAGUUUGGGUUAGUAAUUUUCUAAUCAAGUUUUCAUUUCCACUUAUUAGUAGAUCUCUGGAGAGUUAAGAGGCUAAAGACAUGCUUGUCAGGAUCUAUCCUCUUGAGUGAUACCGUGUGUGUGUGUGUGUGUGUGUGUGUGUGUGUGUGUGUGUGUGUGUGCGCGCGUGGGCAGCUGUGACUGUACAUGUGCAUGUGUCUACUCAGGCAUACUGUAUAAUCCUUCAGUAAAUGUUUGUGUAACUGACUGAAGUCUCCCUUCAUUGCUCCAAUAAUAGCUUCUACUUCUUUCUGUCCUUGUGUGACUCCUUUGCACUGUGUUAUGUACUACAGGCUAGUAUACCCAGUUGAGUCGUUUUAUUCUGAUAAUAGACAAACAGUGCAGUUACUGGACUGUUCUUGAACAUUCAUCCUCGGCAAAGAUGAUACGCUUCCAAAGGACAUGUGUGGCGAAGAAUGACAAACGCAGGACCCAAACUCCACAAGACCUGGGAGGUGUACACGCUGCCACAAGUGGGUGGGGAAUUCAUCGAGACAUUUCCGUGAUAUUCUUCUUCAUGCCCUCACAUCUUCAGCUGUAUUGUUUUAAGGGGAUUCAGUGAAAUGCACCUUCCUCUGUCUCUCUAUCCCUUUCCCCCCUAAAUUAAUUCCCUUUGUCCAUUUUCUGUUUCUCUCCGCCUUUGCCUCUGUCAUUUUGCUGACGGCAAAAUGAAUAAAAGAUGGGAGACAGGUGAAAAGACUAGCAGAAAUGAUUAAGCAGACAAGUGAUGAUUGCACAGGAAUAAGGGGUGAUACGAAAGGAGAAUAUAUAUUAUCAACAUGAACACUUGGGGAUCUAGAGCAAGUCUUCUAUUUCUCCUGAGAAGUAUUGUAUCACAUACAAAUGUAUUUUAUUUCCCCAGAAACGGAAACUACAUUUUUUUGUAUUCAUUAACUGGAGUUAGACCGGACAGCUAUAUCAGCCAAUACUAGUUAGUCCACCAGACAGUCAAGUUGAUUAUUAGUCAUGCUAGCUGAGCAGAUCUAUGGGUGGAAUCGAGCUGUCUUUUAAUCAGUCCACUACUUUUCUCCAGACUGAAAUAUCUGAACGUCUAACUGAUGAAUUGGUACAAAAUUUGAGCAGACAUUUAUGGUUCUCAGACAAUACAUUUUAAAAUUCUUUGGUAAUCCCCUGACUUUUCCUCUAUUGCAGUGGUUCUCAAACUUUUUCUGUCAUGGCGGCUGUUAAAACCAAUUUCAGGUGUGAUGAAGGAGUUUCGGAGACUGAUGAAGACUUACAAAACCAUAUCCAAAUAAGUUUACAGUCCCUCCCUUCUCUGAAGAGUCUGUUGGUUAUUGGUUCAAAUCAAGACACGCUGUGUGUCAUUACAGCCACAUGCAGCCCUUUCUAUGUGGAGAUAGUCAGACGGUCUGUCCUUGGGUUACCUAACAAAUGUAUAACAGUGCAUCCUUAUCAACUCAGCUGCAUCAGUCAGUCGACAAACAAGCAGAGAGAGUUCAGCAAUUGACCUUAGUCUGACCUGGGGAAACCUGCGUCACAGGACCCAUAAAUUAUUCCUUCACAGCCCCCUUCAAAAACCCCCACGCACCCCCUCCCCUAACUACAAGUAAACGGAUUGAAUUUUUAUCAAUCAUUAAUAAUAUUGGGGGAGCAACAAAUAAAAAAGGAGUCCAGUUGAAUUUGAUUGAAAGAAAGAAAUGAUUCAUGUUAGCAUGAUAGCCAGAAGCUGUGUUGUUUUUUUUCUUUCCCUGCAUAAAUCAUGUUCAUUUAACUUAUAUAUUUUUUUAUUUAUAUUUAUUUUAUAUUUUACACUCUGGUCAGCCACACCCCCUUGCAGUGGUUCACCCCCCAGUUUGAGAACCACUGCUCUAGCGCCAUCAUAAGGUUGACAUUUGUGGUUUUGAAAUGUCUCAAAAACUAUUUGAUGGAUUGCCAUGUCACAUUCAUUUGCUGAAACUCUAAUUUUGUAGUUAAUAUUAACAGUAUAAUAUGAUGCCUGCCUCACAUCACCAGGUUGGCAUGCUGAGGUUAGCAUUUAGCUCAAAGCACCACUGUGCGUAUAGUAGGUUCCAGCCCCAUCCCGCUGGUGCUAAGCCCAAAGUACUUUAAAACAACAGAUUCGUUGUUAAUGUUUUUUUAAUGUUGUGUGAUUAUGUAAAAAGAAAAGUCGAUAUAUUGUUAUCUUUAUUUUUAAACUCUCAAAUAUCAGUGGCAACAAAAACAAAAAAUUCCCAGAGCACAGCAACACAAUGAGGUGCUGGUAGAUAGCAGGAUAAAUCUAUGAAAAAUCAAAAACAAACUACCGCACACUGAUCUGACUUACUACUUUAUUUGUGAGCAACGUGUUUCGCCCAUUGCUUCUUCAGGCUCACACAGCGAAAUUACAAAAGCACUUACAGGUGUGUUAAGUAGAUCCUGUGCAAAUAAAGUAAGUCAAAUCAGUGUGCGGUAGUUUGUUUUUGAUAUUUCUCAAAUAUCAGUAUGUAUGUAUAUAUAUAUAUACGAUAUAGAUAUCGUCAUUGCCAAAAUAAACCAAAAUCUAUAUCUGCUAUAAUGUACAUUGUACAAUAUAUUGUAGGUGCUAAUGCAGUGACUACUCCUUAAUGGGUUUAAAGAUGGAAUGCAAGAUGAUUAACGGAAUAUAGGAAAGGAGGAAAGGAGUAAAACAUACUUCUGCCUAACAAACUUUCUCUGAUUACUCCUUUUUUCCAGUACAAUUGAUAAGCCUCUGAUAAUUAUUCAAAUGAAACAAUCUAGGAAGUGUCUGUAUGUGUUAGCGGCGACAGACACAGAUAACAACCUGUGAUCAGGGGGUCAUACAAUAAAUGGACGUUAUUCCCUUUAAAGAGAUCCCAAGCCAAAAAGGUCCGUGAGCAAGAGUUCGAAUUGUGAAGAAAUAGCGUAAUCCUGGCCAAGAGGUGAAAGCAGGAGAAAAUCAGCUCUUCAUCCCUCCCAGGUCAUCUUAGUACCACUUUGUGUGUUCUUUAGUUCUAAGGUUACCUGUGACAGUGAUCCAAGACACAGCCACUUCACUAGACUACUUUGAGACUGAACUCAUCCAGCAUGUUUAACAUUCCACAGAAAGCUGUGCGAAUGAUUUGGAGCCUGAAGAAAAUGAAAGCCUGAUGGGGUUUCAGAGGGAGGUGAACUCAGUUUCAAUCAGCAUCACAUAACGAAAGUAAACAAUUGCAAUUACAGUAAUUAGUGUUGGUUACUCCAGCUUUGCUAGACUUGCUGGCUGAAAAUAGAAUUGUUUUACGUCAGAGGAGUAAAGAUUGUUCAAACAAGACUGCCAUCUAGAGUUCAUAUCCUCCUUUCACUGAGACUUUGACUGGUUUUUAUCCCUGUGAACUACUGUUCAAUAUCAAAUGAAAACAUAUUCACUUUCAUUUAAAUCUGUAUAUGCGUUCAUUGACUUUUCACAAAAUGCAAAUGGUUACCUUGUAUAUUUUAGAAUUUUAUUCCCAUCCAUUUCCUAUUUCCAGUAUUUUUACUUUACUUUUCAGUGCUGUUAUGGCCAUGCCCAGUGAUGCUUCCAGGCAUCGGUAAGGUUCAUAUGCUGUAAACCUAACUUGUCAGUGUCUUGCCUUAAGCCACAGUUCAUGGCUUACUGUAAUCACGUGACAGUGCUUAAAGCCAGCAGUUUCUCAUUCCACCAUGCUUGAGGACUAAUCACAGAUGCCAUUUGGUAUACAUGCACCUGGUUUGGGUUGUCAAUUAACCAAUAAAGAGCAGAAUGGUUUUAUAAUCAAUCAGAGUUUAUAAUAUUUACUUUCUAUUAAUACGAUUUAAGGCCAGGAUCUGAGGUUUCAUCAGGUUUCAUUCUUCUGAUUCUGAUCAGCUGGAAGUAUCCAGAGUCACACUGUGAUUUAGAGCUCAGAUCCAAUGAUGCAUACUUGAUUUGUGAAUGUCUUGUUCUGCAAAAGGAGCUUAAGAACUGCAGUUCUUUGCCAGCUUUUUUGUAAUCCUCACAAUAUAUCCAUGUUCAGACUGACUUUGGGCCUUUAACUGUCUGUAGUGCAUUUUUCAGUAUGUUAAAUGUACGUAUGUAUGUAAAAAUGUAUGUAAAACACAUACAUUUAUUUAGAAAGUGAGAUAGAGAGAGAGAGAGAGAUUUUCAACAUUAUAAAGCACCCAAAAAACUAAUUUCCAUCACACUGAUCUUCAUCAGGUUCUUCUCUCUCCCUCUUAAUGGUUUUUCUUUUCUCUUUUUUUGCACACUUUGUUUUCUCCUGUUCUCAUGUUCCUCUUGUUGGUUUUUGAGCUACUAUCAAGAUUUGAGUAUCCUGAUGUGAUUUUGUAUUGUGUGAACUAACAACAUGGCAACAGCACAAUAGAGAGGCCCAUUCGGACAUCUGUAGCCUCCUGAUGCAAAAUAAUUCAGGGUGGGUCAUUCGCCCUCAUUUCCUUCAUAAUCAUGUUCUGCUCUGCUGCCAUUUGUCAUCUGAAGCCCUUAACUGCAAUCCAUUCUGAUAAAUUGGGAUCUAUUCGUGGUCAGCUCAGAUGGAAGAAAAGCCACUGUACAGUGUCCCUUCAUUGUCCCUCUGAAACUAAAAUGAAAGCAGAAACAUUUCUGCAGUUUAAAGAUGAAAUCAUGAUCCAUAUUCAUAAAUGGCACUUGGCAGCUUGUUAUAAAAGGUAAUGAAACUGGUGGAGACAGAUUGCCUGAAAGAAAUCAUUGGAUGUAGAAACUUUCAGUAACAAAGCCAAAGCAAGCAAACAUGCCUUUCUGUUUAAGCAACUUCUUCAGUAGCAGUCAAAAACACUUCACAAAUUAUUAUUUGAUUAGUGAUAAUACAAAUUGCAGUGGCAAUAUGUCUCACCACCCCUACUAAGUUAGUAGGAUUUCAACUAAUUAUUAAUUUAAGUAGUUUUUCCAAUUGAUAUUUUUUUCUGUUCAUUUCUUUUAAACGAGACUGUUGCUGCAUUUCAUAACAGUGAUGGUUCUUCUACUGUGUUGCUGUUAUGUUGCAUUAUUGUAUAUAAUGUGGGUCACACAAGUUACAGAGACUGAGAGGUGGAGAAGCUGGGUACCUGAGUAUCGGUAAAACAUCAAUAAAUCUAAAUUGAACAUUACGGAGAAAACAGUGGUAGAUCCAUGAUAAAAUAGCUGACUGCUCCUGCCUUGCAUCACUAUAGGCUAGUAAACAAAUUGUUCUGCAUUUGCUUUGUACAGUUACAUCCUUUCUAAAUCAACACUUUGAAAUAAUACCAAUGGUACACAGGAUAGUAAUGUGGAUCACGUUAACUGGUGAAGUAAUAUGGAAAGACAUAACGUUACAUAUUGCACCGGAUAACAUUAGCAACUGCUCGGCAUUAGCCCCUUAACGCCAAUUGUCGCAAAUUCGCAUCACACCACUUCCUUUCAAACUGCAGCUGAGAUAGCGUACGUAUUUCCCCAAUGGCUGUUUGUGCAUAUUCAAUACAUACCUGGGAACCUUUUGCAAGCACUGGUUUCUCGUUUAUGCAUGUUGUCGCUAAUUUGCAUCAUACCUAAUUUUUAUUUUUUAUUUUAUCAAUCAAGGGGUUAGCCGGCGAGCUAACGUGACUCUCUUCGUGUUUCUCCAGCCUUUCUGAUGUUCACCGUUUUCACCAACAUCAUCUGAUUCUCGUUUGGCCUGACGGGCUUCAGCACAUAAACCUUUAUUGUUGUUUUGUAUCCUUACGUGGGAGUCUGUGUUGUGCUGGGAGCAGGUUGUUUUGUGGUGUUAGUGGACUGCAUUUCGCUAGCUGCGGUGAUGUCACAGUAGUCAGAGAGAGGCUCAGGAACUCAAACAGGGCUACAUCCCGACCCGGUGUCCUCACAUUUUAAGCAGAAUAGUGAGAAUAGUGGCUAUUCCAAGCAACAGAGAAAACAGGCGUGUGCUUCAUUUCUAAGUGAGGCUACAGCCCGUUGACAAUAAGGCAAGGGAAAUUUGCUUUAUUAAUAAGUGAUUUCCUUAAAAAACUACAUAUUGCCCCUUUAACUCACUGACAAAACCGGACAUCACAACCAUUGAAAUCAAUGGAGAUAGCAUUUGAAAUGAAAUGCAGAGAGCCAAAAACGGCCUUCAUGAUUGUCUAACAGGUAAACAUCAAAGCUGUUGAUAUCUGCCUUUGCCCUCCAGCUUGGCUGGGAGACUCAGGCCAAUAUAACAUUUUACUGAUGUAUUUUUCUUUACACAGCAUCACAGGGUAGAUUUGAGCAUAUACUGUAACUUGUAGCCAGACUCAUUUGACAUUCCCAUCACAUUCUGAUAGAUACAGAAACCUUGUCAGGUGGCCUUGCUUUUGUAAGACUGUACAUCUCCUUUAACAGGACAUGAGUGAGUAAUGACUGGACCUAAUUCAUUGUGCAUAUUUUUCAAGUUGCUGGUUAGUGCAAGAAGUUAUCCUACUUCAUGUGAAAUAAGCAGAUUUAAUAAGUAGGAUAGACUGCUGAGUGAGCUUUGCAGCCUCUGAAUGUAUCUCAGCUGAAUGAGCAGCAGUGCUUUAUUUUCAUCUUCAAAUCUUCAGUUUAGCUGAGAGGAAUCUCGAGAAAACGCCAUUCUCACAUUUGAAAAGGUUAGAAAAGGUAGAAGAGGAGUCUCACAGUUGUUGCUAGCAGUGUCUAUCUAUGUGAGGUGAUGGGGGUGGCCUGAAGGAAAGAGAGAACAGUUUGAGGUUAAACUACAGUCACUGUUAUUUUAGCUUCUGUACGGGCCAAAAGCAAAAACUUCACGCUUGCAGGUGUGUGUCUGCUUGUGUGUCAAUACAACCUCAAUUUCCUGUGUGUCAGUGGUUUUGUGCCCCACUGUACACACAAUGUAAUCCGCAAAACACACAAUUACAAGAGUGACAGAGAAGUUAAUGAACAGUGUUGUGCUCCACUGAAGGACUCCCAAGGGUAGAUCUGUUAAGCGUUAGCGGCAAUCAAAUAGUUUUGUUUAAUGUAUGCCAUCGGUAUUAAUGGAUGUGUGGUGAAAUGUAGCUUGCUUGUGAUUGUCAUGUCCAACAUUAUAUAACAGAAUAAAGUGGAGGAUGGAGUUUCAAUCAAUGCACUUGUCAGACUUAUAAUACCAUGCUUUCAGGCAUUAUUCAGUUUGAUGCCUUGACAUGGAGGCAUGGGGCAGUUAUGGGAGAAGUAUUUAAGCUAUUUAUUUAUUGAAUGACAAUUGGGAGUUUAACAUAAAUUUUAACUUUGUCUUCAAAGCUCCUCUUUUGCUUAGAUAACUGAUUGUGUUGGUCAGUAAUGCAUUAGGCCUACUUAGUAACACUUUACAGUAAUGUAAAUAAUGUUACGAAUACCAGUUAGAGCUUCAUUAAUUCGACUGUUUGGUGGUUGGUUUGUUCGCUGUCUUACCAGUGAAGACUGUUCCGUUAUAAAGGGCGCCUUUUCCCAAGCUUUGUCAGAGUGAAGGCCCACAGUCUAAGACUUUGAAAAAACAGUUGGCCGUUAUUGGUUCUAUUAAGUGGAUACUGCCUCAAAACACUUAGCAUGACCAGGCUAAUUAGAGAAUGUACUGUGCAAAAUGUGCUAGUGUAAACCUGUUAAAGUAAUUAUCUCCGAAAAUAUGUUAAGGAAAGACUUCUCCUCCCCCCCUCAUUCCCACACUCACCCCAAGAGGCAUUUCUCAGAUUUUCCUAGUAGGCAAAGCUAAGAUGAAACAGUCAGGGUCAUGACUAUUUAAGUCAUUAAUUAAUAUAUUAAAGAUUAAUUUAAAGUCAGUUAAUGAGCUCAUAUAUGACUGAUAACACUGAAUAAAACAGGAAACAACAUGAAUAGCAUGUUAAUUACCUGUGCCAUUUAGCAGUUAUAUUGUGAUAUUCUGUUAUUAUCUGUUAAAAGAAUACUGGAUUUAUUCAUUUAUUCUUGAGUAUAAUCUGGCAAAAUUGACUAAAAAGAUAAAUUUUUUUCUGUACUGUUUUUUCCUUUUAAGAAGAAGACUUUUCUUUAUUGAUAGGAGCGUGCAAGGAGAAAUCCAUCAUAAAGGAAACAGAUAUAUCCAAUUAUCCAUCCAUAAUGCAUUACAGCUGGAAGAGGUUGUGUUUAGGGAACAUAACAUGCUUUAUCUCGACAGGAAAUUGUCACUCCCUUUUCUGGCUAAAUUCUCUGUGAGAUGCUGGAGGUCAUUGUGGGGAAAAAUAGGAAGUCAAUAACUGAGACAGAAGUAGACAAGAGAUAAAGUAGAUAAAACAUAAACAUACAGUAUAUAACACUACUGUAUGCAUGUACUGUACUGCACAAACAACUCUGGAAUACUCUGGACAUCCUUGAUUUAUGAUAUUUACCACUGGAAGACAAGCAUGGAAUUUACAGUAAAACCUUUGCGGAGGUUGUGCUAUUGGAUGGGCCCACUGCAAAUCACCAUGGCAGUGUUAGUGCUGUACUCCACCCACUGAGCAUUACAUGAUUAUAUCAGAUCCAGCUUUUAAUCAUGAAAGUGAAAACGCAAUUAAGCUGGAUUGCACCGAGCGUAAACCUCUACCCCUGCUUGCCUGGUUAAUUAGGUGGUUCAUGUGGAGGGGCUUACAUUCACUCCACAGUUGAUUCCUGCCAUGGCCAAAAUCACCACAUAUGUCUUGUGAUGGCAUUUUAAUAGCUAAUGAAAUUUCUCAUUUAAAAAUAGUAAAAAUGGAGAAAGGUGAUGGCAGGUGGCAGCAGAGGUGUGUGGAUAUAUUAAAUUAUGUAUGCUUGUGUGUGUAAGUGCAAGUGUGUGUGUGUGUGUGUGUGUGUGUGUGUGUGUGUGUGUGUGUGUGUGUGUGUGUGUGUGUGAAAGAGAGAGCGAGGGAGAUUAUUUUUAAAAAGGUGUAUACCAACUAUUGAAAAUAUUUAAACCCUUAAGAUGACCAGAAGGACACUUGAAAAUAAUUUCAGAAACCUCUGUAACAUAACUUCCACAUUUCUUGUCCCAUAAACAGUCCAGUUUUAGACAUACAAUAUUUUAAUGCCAGGUGAUAGUCUUUCCUUACCCCUGUUAAUUAUUGUCUUCUUUGGCCAGAGGCUCAUCAUCACAAUGCAGCUAAAUUGCUCCCCAGCUGCCUGCCUGCCUGCCUACUGCUGGGUGUACUAGUCCGCAAAAUCAAGCACUGCUGAGCCUGCCAGCAAGCAUACAUUAUUGAUUUACAUUGAAAACUGUUAACAAGAAAAGGUAUACACCUGUACUGCUCCCCUGGUAGUUCAUGGGAUCAAAACUGCCAGGUUCAGGGGUAAGAUUCCCUCUGUGGCUACUGCUGGCUAUUGUUAAUGUUAAGUCUCUUCUUCUUCUUUUAUUUUAUUGAUAGCACUCCCAAUAUUUACCAUUUAUAAGCAAAUGGUUUAUAGUACACUACUUACUUUUAAGCAAAUAUAAGGACAUUUGGAAAGUGUUAAUUGAUGUAUUUGUCAUCUUUCAUAAAUGCUUGAUCUCACAUCUGUAGUCAUAUAUAAUUAUAUAUAAUUACACAGUAACAUGUUAAAAAGCGUUUAUUAAUUGUUUAUACAAUAAACUAACAUUCAAAGAUGGACUUAAAACUAAAAAUGAUUCCUCAUGUUUUAUCAAGCAUUAAUUAACUGUUUAUAAAUCAGUUCUAGGUGCUAGUUACAAAGGGGGUUAUAGUUAUGGAGAAUUACAUUGGAAAGCACUAUAAAUGUCCUAAAUCUACUCUAAAUCUAAUCUUAUAUUGUGUUAUAGGCUACUACUAGGCUUGAGUCCUUCAUCACCACCACACACAAAUGCUUUUUUUAAUUUAAAAAAAGUAAGUUUUAACUUGUAAAGACAGCAAGUGGAAAUCAUUGUUUGUGCAUGCUAACCAUCAUUAAAUAUAUCUAUUAUAAUUAUUAUUAUUACAUGAUGUGAUAUCUUAGUAUUAUAUUAUGAAGUUCAUGUGUUUCUGUUCAAAAUCAUACUUUAGUUAUCAAACUGAGGAAAAGCAAAGGCCUCGUUAUUAUUCCCUACUAGUAAAUAAGGUUUUGAUUUUAGCAUCAUUCCUCUUCUUAAGAACUUCAUCUGCCUUUUUCAGCAACUCUCAGUCUCUUGUCUCUGCUUUCCCAGACAGUGGACACCACUCUGCUGACUGAGCAAAUUCAGAGUGACACCACUUGAGAUUGUCUCUGCGAAGGCGUCCCUCCAACCCAUGCAUUACAAUGGCAUGUUAUGCUCCAUCACUGUUAUCCCGCAGUGGCAUAUUGUCUAGGAUGUAUAGAGGCUAGGACAAGAAUUGGCUGGUACAUCUGUUUUAGCUUUAGUAUGGACUGGACAUACUGCUAAUAAGUAAUUAGCUGCUCAUUAUUGUCUGGACAGGAUACCAGCUCGAAAACAACAAAAUUACCUGAAGGAGGCACUGCAGGUGUUGCCUGUCCAGGGACUGUAGAUGUGUAAAAACUGUAUAGUGGCCAAACAUGUAAAACCCACUUGUGCGAAACUUUUAUGUACACCCUUUUUCAUAAAGGGUAAAAGAACCUUGUAAUGUGUGUUGUGUGGUCUCUUUUGCUGACUCAGAAACAUCAGAGUAAACCACCUCCUGAUGUAUGCAGCCAGUGGAUACUGUAAUGUACUUUCUCUUAUCUGUUGAAAUUGCACAAAAUAUUUCUGUUGUCAAGUAAAUACUGAUUGUACACGAGUCUAGCUUGAUUUAAUUAGGCUGAAGUGCUGAUUCAGGUAUUGAUUAUCAUACUUUAAGGCCAAAGAGAAAGUGCACUUUCUGUCUGUCUGAUUCUAAUGUUUAAGCUACCUCUAGUGGCAGGAAGGAAGAAUUGCAUCGAAUAACAAAAUGAAGCUCGUAGAAAAAAAGUCCAAGAGAAACCAGAGCUGCCUGAAAAUACUGAUAACAAAUGUUUCCUUAAUAAAUAAUAUAUGUAUAAAACAGUAGUUUUAAAAGCAGCAUUUGAGGUGCAAGGUUGAAUUAUUGCAUUCAAGCCCCUGUGAGAGCAGAUCUUCACCCUGCAGAAGUGUCCAAAAGACAAAUCAAUUGUGCUCUGACCUCCCCUUAGGAAGGUAUAGAAUAUAAUGUUUUGUCUCUACAUAGACUGUAAAAAUGGGCAGUAACACACUUCUCAAUCAAACUGUAAAAUCAUAAUAUAAUGCAGGCUCCUACAUAUUUCUGCUGCUAAACUGUUUAUUCAAAUCCCAUAACUCUCUUGACAUUUGGUGCAAUUUUGGACCUAUCUAAUGUUUUUACAGGUAGGGUGAAAGACAGGGCUGAGUUUGAACAGGUGUUUGAUGGCAAUACUUAAUGUCAGUUAGUGAGCAAGCAUCCUGCCACACCUUAGUAACUGUAAAAAGGCAUGCCUUCAGGAUGUUUAUUGUUUAUGACCAUCCAAAUGUGCAGCACUCAUUGAGUUAAACACAAGAUUGUGGUUGUUGUUUUGAAAAUAAAACUUCACAGUAAUUGCAAAGUAACAGGAUACAGAACAAAGUCUGAAAAAUGUAUCAUGAAUACUGUGCACCAGGAAACCAAAAAGCUCUUUAGUACCCACAAGCACUCACUGCAUUAUUUAUGAAGACCAGCACUUCUGAUUGGAGAUGGAAGCUUUUUGUCGUUGUGUGUGUCACUCAUGCGAAAAGGCCAUGCUGAAGAUCUCUGAACCAUCUGUUAUUUAUUUCUCUGUAGAAUCUCCGUCUGAUAAAUGAUGCAGAUGCAGUGAUCCUU